GAUGAACGCUAGCGGGAGGCCUAACACAUGCAAGCCGAGCGGUAGAGAUUCUUCGGAAUCUUGAGAGCGGCGUACGGGUGCGGAACACGUGUGCAACCUGCCUUUAUCAGGGGGAUAGCCUUUCGAAAGGAAGAUUAAUACCCCAUAAUAUAUUGAAUGGCAUCAUUUGAUAUUGAAAACUCCGGUGGAUAGAGAUGGGCACGCGCAAGAUUAGAUAGUUGGUGAGGUAACGGCUCACCAAGUCUACGAUCUUUAGGGGGCCUGAGAGGGUGAUCCCCCACACUGGUACUGAGACACGGACCAGACUCCUACGGGAGGCAGCAGUGAGGAAUAUUGGACAAUGGGUGAGAGCCUGAGUCCAGCCAUCCCGCGUGAAGGACGACGGCCCUAUGGGUUGUAAACUUCUUUUGUAUAGGGAUAACCUAGAUACGUGUAUCUAGCUGAAGGUACUAUACGAAUAAGCACCGGCUAACUCCGUGCCAGCAGCCG
This 489-nucleotide ribosomal RNA is filed under the name uncultured bacterium. Its description in RNAcentral is "bacterial SSU rRNA". It matches the Rfam family "Bacterial small subunit ribosomal RNA", at positions 28 to 517 of the family's 1533-position model. The record is from RNAcentral.